This 619-nucleotide ribosomal RNA is filed under the name uncultured archaeon. Its description in RNAcentral is "bacterial SSU rRNA". It matches the Rfam family "Archaeal small subunit ribosomal RNA", at positions 52 to 670 of the family's 1478-position model. The record is from RNAcentral.
UGCGAGUCAUAUGUUCUUCGUGAACAUGGCGUACUGCUCAGUAACACGUGGAUAACCUGCCCUUGGGACCGGGAUAACCCCGGGAAACUGGGGAUAAUACCGGAUAACGCAUAUCUGCUGGAAUGCUUUAUGCGUAAAAUGGAUUUGUCUGCCCAAGGAUGGGUCUGCGGCCUAUCAGGUAGUAGUGGGUGUAAUGUACCUACUAGCCUACGACGGGUACGGGUUGUGAGAGCAAGAGCCCGGAGAUGGAUUCUGAGACAUGAAUCCAGGCCCUACGGGGCGCAGCAGGCGCGAAAACUUUACAAUGCGGGAAACCGUGAUAAGGGGACACCGAGUGCCAGCAUCAUAUGUUGGCUGUCCGGAUGUGUAAAAUACAUCUGUUAGCAAGGGCCGGGCAAGACCGGUGCCAGCCGCCGCGGUAACACCGGCGGCCCGAGUGGUGAUCGUGAUUAUUGGGUCUAAAGGGUCCGUAGCCGGUUUGGUCAGUCCUCCGGGAAAUCUGACGGCUCAACCGUUAGGCUUUCGGUGGAUACUGCCAGACUUGGAACCGGGAGAGGUAAGAGGUACUACAGGGGUAGGAGUGAAAUCUUGUAAUCCCUGUGAGACCACCUGUGGCGAA